RNAcentral lists this ribosomal RNA (455 nucleotides) under uncultured bacterium. RNAcentral's name for it is "partial 16S ribosomal RNA". It matches the Rfam family "Bacterial small subunit ribosomal RNA", at positions 355 to 802 of the family's 1533-position model. The record is from RNAcentral.
UAGGGAAUCUUCCACAAUGGACGCAAGUCUGAUGGAGCAACGCCGCGUGAGUGAAGAAGGUUUUCGGACCGUAAAGCUCUGUUGUUGGUGAAGAAGGAUAGAGGUAGUAACUGGCCUUUAUUUGACGGUAAUCAACCAGAAAGUCACGGCUAACUACGUGCCAGCAGCCGCGGUAAUCGUAGGUGGCAAGCGUUGUCCGGAUUUAUUGGGCGUAAAGCGAGCGCAGGCGGAAGAAUAAGUCUGAUGUGAAAGCCCCUCGGCUUAACCGAGGAAUUGCAUCGGAAACUGUUUUCUUGAGUGCAGAAGAGGAGAGUAGAACUCCAUGUGUAGCGGUGGAAUGCGUAGAUAUAUGGAAGAAUACCAGUGGCGAAGGCGGCUCUCUGGUCUGCAACUGACGCUGAGGCUCGAAAGCAUGGGUAGCGAACAGGAUUAGAUACCCUUGGUAGUCCAUGCCG